RNAcentral lists this ribosomal RNA (730 nucleotides) under uncultured bacterium. Its description in RNAcentral is "bacterial SSU rRNA". It matches the Rfam family "Bacterial small subunit ribosomal RNA", at positions 771 to 1501 of the family's 1533-position model. The record is from RNAcentral.
AACAGGAUUAGAUACCCUGGUAGUCCACGCCGUAAACGAUGUCGACUUGGAGGUUGUGCCCUUGAGGCGUGGCUUCCGGAGCUAACGCGUUAAGUCGACCGCCUGGGGAGUACGGCCGCAAGGUUAAAACUCAAAUGAAUUGACGGGGGCCCGCGCAAGCGGUGGAGCAUGUGGUUUAAUUCGAUGCAACGCGAAGAACCUUACCUACUCUUGACAUCCAGAGAACUUAGCAGAGAUGCUUUGGUGCCUUCGGGAACUCUGAGACAGGUGCUGCAUGGCUGUCGUCAGCUCGUGUUGUGAAAUGUUGGGUUAAGUCCCGCAACGAGCGCAACCCUUAUCCUUUGUUGCCAGCGGUUAGGCCGGGAACUCAAAGGAGACUGCCAGUGAUAAACUGGAGGAAGGUGGGGAUGACGUCAAGUCAUCAUGGCCCUUACGAGUAGGGCUACACACGUGCUACAAUGGCGCAUACAAAGAGAAGCGACCUCGCGAGAGCAAGCGGACCUCAUAAAGUGCGUCGUAGUCCGGAUUGGAGUCUGCAACUCGACUCCAUGAAGUCGGAAUCGCUAGUAAUCGUGGAUCAGAAUGCCACGGUGAAUACGUUCCCGGGCCUUGUACACACCGCCCGUCACACCAUGGGAGUGGGUUGCAAAAGAAGUAGGUAGCUUAACCUUCGGGAGGGCGCUUACCACUUUGUGAUUCAUGACUGGGGUGAAGUCGUAACAAGGUAACC